Molecule: small nucleolar RNA, 129 nt
Organism: Panthera uncia (snow leopard)
Lineage: Eukaryota; Metazoa; Chordata; Mammalia; Carnivora; Felidae
Product: small nucleolar RNA SNORA43
Exons: 1
Source: RefSeq, a predicted model, not a curated record
GGUGGCUCAGUGGGUGAGAACAGCUGCUCUGCUUUGCUGCACCUGUGACACUGGGGCAAAGAGGAAGUGGCUAUUUCUAUGCUCUGCUCAGAACAGUGACCACUAAGAAUGAUUUGUAGCCUAACAAGC